AAAGAAAAGAAGCCCACCCCGAACGGCACAAAAUAGGAAAAAAGAAAACCCACCCCAUCUUCCCCAUCUUGUCGUCGACCCACCACAUCCGGCACCCCGCUGCCGGCCACCUCCCGGCGCCCCGGCUUCUUGACCCGCCGCCAGCCACCUCCGGCGCCCCAACUUCUUGACCCGCCGCCAGCCACCUCACCAUGCCCCUGAUUCUUUCCCUGCCACCUCCCCGCGGCCCGACUUCUUUCCCGCCUCCGGCCUCCUCCUCGCGCCCCGGCUUCUUCCCGGCCGUCGGCCUCCUCCUCGCGCCCCAGCUUCUUCCCCGCCGCCGGCCUCCUCCUCUUGCCCCGACUUCUUCCCCGUUGCCGGCCUCCUCCUCGCGCCCCAGCUUCUUCCCCUCCGUUGGCCUUCUCGUCGCGUCCCGGCUUCUUCCCCGCCGGAGCGGCCAACCACAAGAUCCGGUCGCCACAUCCCCAUGACGCCCCCAGCAACGGCGCCCGGACCUCGACACCACCCGGCUCGGGGGACUCCAAGCCCCGGCGCUGCCGACCCCUGCACUACCUCAUCCGGCGACGAUCCACGCCAUCACUCUGCCUCGUUCCGGUGGGGGAUCCAUGGCCACUACGCCAGUCCAAUACCACCGCCGCAAGCCGGCCACAUCCACAAUGACCAGACCGGCUGCCCCGCGCCUCAGCCCCCCGUAUGCACGCCACCAAGUGCCUCUGUGCACUACCCCCGCCUCCCCCAUCAGGUUGCAGCCCGAGCCACACGGUGCCGCAUCUUGUUGAGAUCACUGCCUUGCCGUGGUUCCAGCGGUACACAGGAGGAUGGAUGCCCUGGUGCCGUACGCCCAGGUUUUGAUGCGAUGCUCUUCUGCUCAUGACGCUGGAGCCCUAGUGCCCCACUACACAUGAAACGAGAGACAUGUACAGAAGUUCACCUAAAAAAAGGCUAGCAGUUCUUCCCAAAGAGACAACAGUUCUAAGAAAAGAAGGUAGAAAAAAAGGGUAGCUCAACGUACAAAAAAUUGGAGGUUUAGAGACCACAAACAAAGACGAAAACAAUUUCAGUGGCACAAUCAGUUUAGUUUCUAUUUUUAGUUCAGUUCAAUUAUUAUUUUUAGUUUCGUUCAGUUCAAUAUUGUCAAUGAACUGAUAUACAUACAAAUAAGAAAUUAUAUUCAUUUAUUUGGUACAGACUUAGUUAUUAGUUUUGGAGACCAGAAUAUCAGUUCAGUUAUUUUAUCAUUUUGUACCGAUUCCACUCAUUGUAUGAACUGGUGCAUCACCAUGGAAGUAAAAAAGAAAGGAAACAUCAGUCCAGCUACUAGACAUGGAUGUGAUUUUCUAUGUAAAUAUCUAGCGGGAGCUGCAGCUGGUGAGCGUCUGUGCCCUGCUGAUUGCGUGCAAGUACGAUGAGAUUUGGGCUCCAGAGGGAUGGCAAUUUUUCCCAUGGGUAUGGGUACCCGUGGGUACCCUACCCGAAAACAAUGAGAAUGGGCAAGACUUGAAGAGAUUUUCUACCCACGGGUAAUGGGUACCCAUAUCCACAAAAUGUAUGGGUAGGGCAUGGGUAAGAAAUUGUGCCCAUGGGUAACCCAAUGGAUACCCAGAAAAAAAUAACAAAUGAAAAUAAUUCCUAUAACAUGUGGGGUUAACAUCCAACUCAUAUGGUCUAACCCUAAAUCUUGUAUUCCUUAAACAAGUCAUAGCUCAUAGGCUCAUAAUCACCUGCUUGCCACUCCUCAUACGUCCUAUGUGACUCCUCAAAAAUAUGAAAUAUCGACUCUUCGCUACCAGACUCUUGUCGAACACUCGAUCCAGCGAUCCCCAAUUCCCACCACCGCCUUCCACUACGUCGGCCUUCCACCAACCGCUGCUCAUACUCCCCUGAUGCCUCCAAGAGGCCACCCACUGGAGGAGGCCACAUACGUGCUAUAGUUCUCUACCAUGAUCACUUGAAUUUUGAACUCAUUUCUCUACCUCUUAAGAAUUUGAAUGCUAUAUAUUGUACCCAAUGGAUACCCAUUGGGUAUAGGAUACCCGAUGGGUAUGGGCAUGGGUGUCAGUUUAUACCCAUGGGUAUUGAAGUGGGUGGGUAUAAAAAAUUUCUAUGGGUAUGGGUUUGGGUAGAAGGAGGUUGUACCCGCCCAUACCCUACCCAUUGCCAUCCCUAUUUGUGCGCCAACCUGCAGGUGAAUGACUUCAAAUUGUUCUCCGACAACACAUAUACAGGGAGCAGAUUCUGAGGAUGGAGAAGGCAAUCCUGAACAUGCUUGAGUGGAACUUGACAGUGCCCACACCUUACGUCUUCCUUGUCCGAUUCGCCAAGGCCGCGUCCUCCUGAGAUAAGAAGAACGGCAAGGAGUAUGGACAGGAACAAUGCGUUGAUGUCGAGCAAAACACAGAGACAAGGUUAGAAAGUUCAACAUGUGAUUGGAAUUCAGUGCAAAAGCUGCAGGUGCGAGAUGGCGGCCGCCGACGUUGCUAAAUCCUUCUACAAACUAGUGGUUGGCUGCUUCGAGCGGUAAAUGUGGUCGGAUUCAGCAGCUAGCUCUUCCUCGAGCAACCAUUUGGAGAAUUUUAUUGUCUUCUUGUGGUGGUGAUUGAUUUUAGGAUCAGUAAAUUUGACAUUGGUAGCUAGCUUGCGUAUGGAACCUGCAAGUUCAAUAUUGGUAUUAGAUUUAGUUUCUUGUUGUACAAAUGUCCCAGUUCAGCUACAGAAAUCAUGCAGGUUUAGUGAUGAUGAUACCAUAAGUUCGGACAAGAAAAUUUAUGUAUAUGAUGAGAUGAUUGCUACUUCUUCAAAGAAGGUAUUGU
RNAcentral lists this ribosomal RNA (2810 nucleotides) under Triticum aestivum (bread wheat). RNAcentral describes it as "partial small subunit ribosomal RNA". The record is from RNAcentral. Lineage: Eukaryota; Viridiplantae; Streptophyta; Magnoliopsida; Poales; Poaceae.